ACGACGGGUGGCAGCAGUGGGGAAUAUUGGACAAUGGGCGAAAGCCUGAUCCAGCCAUGCCGCGUGUGUGAAGAAGGCCUUCGGGUUGUAAAGCACUUUCAGUGGGGAAGAAAGCCUUGGGGCUAAUACCCUCGAGGAAGGACAUCACCCACAGAAGAAGCACCGGCUAACCCCGUGCCAGCAGCCGCGGUAAUACGGAGGGUGCGAGCGUUAAUCGGAAUUACUGGGCGUAAAGCGCGCGUAGGCGGUCUGAUAAGCCGGUUGUGAAAGCCCCGGGCUCAACCUGGGAACGGCAUCCGGAACUGUCAGGCUAGAGUGCAGGAGAGGAAGGUAGAAUUCCCGGUGUAGCGGUGAAAUGCGUAGAGAUCGGGAGGAAUACCAGUGGCGAAGGCGGCCUUCUGGACUGACACUGACGCUGAGGUGCGAAAGCGUGGGUAGCAAACAGGAUUAGAUACCCGAGUAGUC
RNAcentral lists this ribosomal RNA (465 nucleotides) under Vreelandella stevensii. RNAcentral's name for it is "partial 16S ribosomal RNA". It matches the Rfam family "Bacterial small subunit ribosomal RNA", at positions 338 to 795 of the family's 1533-position model. Lineage: Bacteria; Pseudomonadati; Pseudomonadota; Gammaproteobacteria; Oceanospirillales; Halomonadaceae. The record is from RNAcentral.